AACGAACGCUGGCGGCAUGCCUAACACAUGCAAGUCGAACGAGACCUUCGGGUCUAGUGGCGCACGGGUGCGUAACGCGUGGGAACCUGCCCUUAGGUUCGGAAUAACUCCCCGAAAGGGGUGCUAAUACCGGAUAAUGUCUUCGGACCAAAGAUUUAUCGCCUUUGGUUGGGCCCGCGUUGGAUUAGCUAGUUGGUAGGGUAAAAGCCUACCAAGGCGACGAUCCAUAGCUGGUCUGAGAGGAUGAUCAGCCACACUGGGACUGAGACACGGCCCAGACUCCUACGGGAGGCAGCAGUGGGGAAUAUUGGACAAUGGGCGAAAGCCUGAUCCAGCACUGCCGCGUGAGUGAUGAAGGCCUUAGGGUUGUAAAGCUCUUUUACCCGGGAUGAUAAUGACAGUACCGGGAGAAUAAGCUCCGGCUAACUCCGU
Molecule: ribosomal RNA, 432 nt
Filed under: uncultured bacterium
Lineage: Bacteria
Description: partial 16S ribosomal RNA
Rfam family: Bacterial small subunit ribosomal RNA
Source: RNAcentral